Molecule: ribosomal RNA, 890 nt
Filed under: uncultured Lysobacter sp.
Lineage: Bacteria; Pseudomonadati; Pseudomonadota; Gammaproteobacteria; Lysobacterales; Lysobacteraceae
Description: bacterial SSU rRNA
Rfam family: Bacterial small subunit ribosomal RNA
Source: RNAcentral
CAAGUCGAACGGCAGCACAGAGGAGCUUGCUCCUUGGGUGGCGAGUGGCGGACGGGUGAGGAAUGCAUCGGAAUCUGCCUAUUUGUGGGGGAUAACGUAGGGAAACUUACGCUAAUACCGCAUACGUCCUACGGGAGAAAGUGGGGGACCUUCGGGCCUCACGCAGAUAGAUGAGCCGAUGCCGGAUUAGCUAGUUGGCGGGGUAAAGGCCCACCAAGGCGACGAUCCGUAGCUGGUCUGAGAGGAUGAUCAGCCACACUGGAACUGAGACACGGUCCAGACUCCUACGGGAGGCAGCAGUGGGGAAUAUUGGACAAUGGGCGCAAGCCUGAUCCAGCCAUGCCGCGUGUGUGAAGAAGGCCUUCGGGUUGUAAAGCACUUUUGUCCGGAAAGAAAAGCGCUCGAUUAAUACUCGGGUGUUAUGACGGUACCGGAAGAAUAAGCACCGGCUAACUUCGUGCCAGCAGCCGCGGUAAUACGAAGGGUGCAAGCGUUACUCGGAAUUACUGGGCGUAAAGCGUGCGUAGGUGGUUUGUUAAGUCUGAUGUGAAAGCCCUGGGCUCAACCUGGGAACUGCAUUGGAAACUGGCUUACUAGAGUGCGGUAGAGGGGUGUGGAAUUCCCGGUGUAGCAGUGAAAUGCGUAGAUAUCGGGAGGAACAUCUGUGGCGAAGGCGACACCCUGGACCAGCACUGACACUGAGGCACGAAAGCGUGGGGAGCAAACAGGAUUAGAUACCCUGGUAGUCCACGCCCUAAACGAUGCGAACUGGAUGUUGGGGGCAACUUGGCCCUCAGUAUCGAAGCUAACGCGUUAAGUUCGCCGCCUGGGAAGUACGGUCGCAAGACUGAAACUCAAAGGAAUUGACGGGGGCCCGCACAAGCGGUGGA